This 357-nucleotide small RNA is filed under the name Arabidopsis thaliana (thale cress). RNAcentral's name for it is "ATSL100610". Lineage: Eukaryota; Viridiplantae; Streptophyta; Magnoliopsida; Brassicales; Brassicaceae. The record is from RNAcentral.
GACCUUACCGAGAAAAUCACUUCAAAACAAUUCACAAAGAAUUGUAACGGGAAGAAACAGAAACCAACUUUGCUGACUAACGGUUAAAAAGCGACAGAUUGCAAACUCUGACGUAAAACCGGAAUAUCUUCGGACAGAGGCUCCGCUCAACUAUCAAGAAAUACUGAAGAGGGAGAAGUUCUUAAACCAAAGAGGAUUGGGACGGCGAGAGAACGGCGUUGAGAAAUUUGCUAAAUUGAGCUACUAAGAGAAAGAACAGAGCAGUUUUUUUGUUGAUUGUUAAUACGCACAUCUCAAUUCUCAUGGACAAAGUUAAACUAGAGAUGUUAUCAUUUUGGAAUAACAAAUAAAACAAAA